GACGAACGCUGGCGGCGUGCCUAAUACAUGCAAGUCGAGCGGACGGAUGGGAGCUUGCUCCCAGACCGUCAGCGGCGGACGGGUGAGUAACACGUAGGCAACCUGCCUGUAAGACUGGGAUAACUCCGGGAAACCGGGGCUAAUACCGGAUAACUCUUUCCCUCACAUGAGGGAAAGCUGAAAGAUGGCAUCUCGCUAUCACUUACAGAUGGGCCCGCGGCGCAUUAGCUAGUUGGUGAGGUAACGGCUCACCAAGGCGACGAUGCGUAGCCGACCUGAGAGGGUGAUCGGCCACACUGGGACUGAGACACGGCCCAGACUCCUACGGGAGGCAGCAGUAGGGAAUCUUCCGCAAUGGACGAAAGUCUGACGGAGCAACGCCGCGUGAGUGAUGAAGGUUUUCGGAUCGUAAAACUCUGUUGUCAGGGAAGAACAAGUACCGGAGUAACUGCCGGUACCUUGACGGUACCUGACCAGAAAGCCACGGCUAACUACGUG
This 498-nucleotide ribosomal RNA is filed under the name uncultured bacterium. Its description in RNAcentral is "partial 16S ribosomal RNA". It matches the Rfam family "Bacterial small subunit ribosomal RNA", at positions 28 to 507 of the family's 1533-position model. The record is from RNAcentral.